This 497-nucleotide ribosomal RNA is filed under the name uncultured bacterium. RNAcentral's name for it is "partial 16S ribosomal RNA". It matches the Rfam family "Bacterial small subunit ribosomal RNA", at positions 28 to 507 of the family's 1533-position model. The record is from RNAcentral.
GAUGAACGCUGGCGGCGUGCCUAAUACAUGCAAGUCGAGCGAACAGACGAGGAGCUUGCUCCUCUGACGUUAGCGGCGGACGGGUGAGUAACACGUGGAUAACCUACCUAUAAGACUGGGAUAACUUCGGGAAACCGGAGCUAAUACCGGAUAAUAUAUUGAACCGCAUGGUUCAAUAGUGAAAGACGGUUUUGCUGUCACUUAUAGAUGGAUCCGCGCCGCAUUAGCUAGUUAGUAAGGUAACGGCUUACCAAGGCAACGAUGCGUAGCCGACCUGAAAGGGUGAUCGGCCACACUGGAACUGAGACACGGUCCAGACUCCUACGGGAGGCAGCAGUAGGGAAUCUUCCGCAAUGGGCGAAAGCCUGACGGAGCAACGCCGCGUGAGUGAUGAAGGUCUUCGGAUCGUAAAACUCUGUUAUUAGGGAAGAACAAAUGUGUAAGUAACUAUGCACGUCUUGACGGUACCUAAUCAGAAAGCCACGGCUAACUACGUG